This 6512-nucleotide unclassified non-coding RNA is filed under the name Leishmania donovani. Its description in RNAcentral is "gene:LdHU3.19.0620(CDS-product:hypothetical_prote in_conserved)". The record is from RNAcentral. Lineage: Eukaryota; Euglenozoa; Kinetoplastea; Trypanosomatida; Trypanosomatidae.
AGAUUCCCAUCUUUUAACGCUCUGAUCGCGUUCCUCUUUUCGCCCCCCCCCCCCACACACACUCUCUCGGAGUUUGCUGAGCCGAACGUGGCCGGGCUCCAUUUUUUUGAUUUCAGUUUCAUGAAUUUCCUUGCUCGAUCUUUUUCUUAUUUGUUCAUCUCGCAAUUGCUGUGCAAGCUCCCCUUCCUCUGUUUUUCUUUUUUUGCUGUCCGCCUUUCCUCCCUCCCUCCUCCCCCAUCUUCUUUCUGCUACACGUCUCACUGCACGUGUAUUUUUAUCACACACACGCACAGGCAAACAGACACGCUCUUGCGCUGCAUAUAUAUAUAUACUCUUCUACUUCCCCCAAGUGCGCGCUUUUUCCGCAAGUGUGUGUGUGUACCGGUGAGGGGCCGCAGACCUCUGUCAAACCGCCACACCUGUAUUCUCUUGUUUAUUAUUAUUGUGUGAGUCGUGUGUGCGUGUAGGAGGCAAAACCUGGGAAACAAAAAGAGAAAAGCCUGCAACCCCCCCCUUCACACGCCCCACCACAAACGUGUGAUUUGACGACCUUGUGAGUUGGGCUCUCUCACCCCCCCCCCGCCUCCGCUCACUUCGUAGAAGAAUUCCCUGAAUUCCCGUGAUAAACAUACAGAGAUAGAGAAGAGCAGAAAUUAUAAAGUCUAGCCUUGGAAAGAGAGAGAAGGCGCGUAGGUACACCACACCAGCAGGUAACGGUGCCUCUUCUCUAUUUUUCCUUGAAGGGACCACUCUCAUCAUCUCCGUCGACACCCCCUAUCCAGAGAGCCAAAGGCAAAGAGGGACGUGCACCGCUUCACACGCCCCAGAAAAGCUCCCACUCGCUGCUUCCCUAACAGACUUCUCUUGUCACAGGGACUCCUGUAUUCAUUCUUUUUUUCAGAUUCCCUUUCGUUUGCUACGUCUUUUUCUCCUUUUUCUUUAUCUCUUCUCUAUUUUUCGGUAGGUCCUGCACUCGUCCUUUUCAAGAUCUCUUUCUCUUCGCUCAUCUGUUCCUCUGUUCUGCCCGUUCUCCUGAACGCCCCCUCCCCCCGCCUCGCCCUCUCUUUCACCUCUCCCCCCCCAAUUUCCGAAGAAGCAACGGUUAAAAGCCCGCGCACUCACCUACACAUAGAAUGGCCAAAACAGCGCUUCUCGUGGGCGCUCUGCUCGCCCUCGUCAUGUGCCUGGCGGCGACGGCCGUCUCGGCGCAGCGGUCGCUGGAGUGUCAAAUGGUGUGGCAAGGUCCUUCCUCUAACAACAGCCUGCUGGAGUGCCUGGGGAACACGGAUCGCAUCCGGUCCCAGUGGCCCUACUACCUGUAUCCCGCCUUCGCUGCGCUCGUGUUCAUCUUCACGGUGAUUGGGCUGCCGAUUCUGUUCUGCUGCCACUGCUGCAGCUGCUGCGAGGCGUAUGUGAAGCCGAAGGCGGAGACGGACCUCGGCGUUGCCCGCUGCUGCCUAUGGAUGUGGAUCGUGAUUUCGGUGCUUGUGGCGUGCGGCGUGUGCGUGCUGCUGGUGUAUGGCUCCGUCUUACUGGAGCAGGCAGCCAAACAAAUUAUCCACGACACCGAGUAUCGCACGCUUGAUUACUUCAACGACACCCGUGCGAACAUCACGAUGCUGCUGACAAACUACAGCGCGGACCCACCGACACCACCGUCAAUCGACCUUAGCGCCUUUGACGCCGUGAACGAUAAUGUUACCUACUACGUGCACCUGGCGCGCAACAACUACCUCAAGUACUUCCGCGCUGCCGAGAUUGUGGUCUGCUGCGUCGGCAGCGUCGGUGUUUUCCUGAUGCUGUGCAUGCUGAUCUUUGCGCUGUGCCGUUGCAGUGGGAUCUGCCCGAUUGUGUGGAGCUGCCUGUACUUCGUGUUCGCGCUUGCAUUUGCGUUGCUUGCGGUGCUGUUCACGAUAUGCAUCUACGUGAUGUCCGCCGGCUGCGGCGAGGUGGACCUCCAGUACAGCCGUGAGCCUGGCGUCUUUCAGUGGUACCUGGUGCCGUGGUGCGAGAAGCAGUUCGACUUCCAGGCGCUGCGGGCUCAGGUGCAGAGCCAGGAGCAGCAGGUCUCGCAGAGCGCCUGCGGGGCGCUCUUGAACUUCUGUGACAACGAUCCGAAUUACUCGUUGGAGAAUAAAAACCACAUCUUCAUGUGCGGCAACAGCAUCACCGACAAAAGCCAGUGCAACUCGCUGGACGACGUGGUGGACGUUGUUCUGAGCACAUACGUGAAGCCGAUGCUGACGAACACGCUAUGUGCCAACCAGACGGGCAUGAAGUACCUGGAGAAGUGUACAGUGAAGUCGUGCGCAUCGCGGUGUGCAAACUACGCCGCUCUGGACCUGUAUCCCCGGACGUACUCCAUUCAAAUUCUGCAGGCUUCUGACUUUGCUGCGAAUGCGAGCACUGCGCUGUCAUACGUGUGGCCGCUGCUGGAGUGCAACUUCAUCAUUGACAAGAUUGCCAACACAGUCGAGACGCGGAACUACAACAGCAGCUUCACCACGCAGAGCGAUUAUGUGCGCAGCUGCUCUGCGGUCCGCGUAUCCUCGGUGAUGCUGGGUACCGGUUUCUUUGUCGGGGCGCUCAUGUUCAUCCUCGGCAUUCACGUCAUGCAUCGCGGUGCGUGGAUCAGGGUGCCAGUGGGCAAAAGUGAGGAUUUAGGAGUGACGCGAAAGUGGAGGGAGUAGGCGCUGCGCCUUGUGCGAGGCUUUUCAGCAGCGCCUCCCCCCCUCCCCCCACACACACACACACCUUCCCGCUCUACCUCUGCUUCUCCUUUGCCUUUCCUGGUCCAGCGGUGUAUGGCUAAGAAAGGGGAGCGUACGUGCGGAGGCGAUCGAGCGGGCAAAGUACAUGCGAGCUCGACGUGCAAAAGCGAACCAGGCAGCGAGGGGACCUGCGAAUGUGGUGCCGUGGAGGGGGUGCUGCCGACUGUGGGCGGCGAAAGCGCGUCGCAGCGGAUAAGUGAUAGAACGGGGCUUCGAUAGAAAGAGCAGUAGGCAUGUAAAGUGAUGACGUUGUUGGGGGACCGCUUCUUGCGUUGGGUCGUUCUCGUCACUGUCUCUGGCAUUUGCGGCAUGUAUUUCCGUGCGUGCAACACGUAUGGAAGUGGUAAAAGUGAAGUGCGCGCGGUGAGGCUUAAAGAGACUGAAGGCGAAAAAGAGGAGCCCGCUGGAGCGGUGCGUGCAAGGCGGGCAUGUAUCGAAAUACCUCCAUCCUUCAUGGAGCAGGAGAACCUGCUCUCUGCGAGCUGCUUCGGCUUUGCCCUUUUCUCCGUUUUUCGUCACGGCCCCCACUCCCGCCGCACUCGGUCUCUGUUCUUGAGGCCAUCCUCUGAAUUUGGCUGCAUAAGCGUGAGAAACGUGAGUAACCCCCCGGACUCCUUAGAACAUGCAUACACACACACACACACACACGCAGGCGCAUCAAGAAAAAGCGCGUGAGUGUGUUCCUUUGUGGUGAUGAAGCCGGCCACGUUUGGGGCGUUCCGCCGUACACGUGAGUGGCAGGCCGAUAAUCGGCACAGGGGAGAUGGCGACACGAACAUGUAGAACAGUUUCUGCAGUUCCGAUUGCUGGCUUAUUACUGCGGGCGAGCAGUGGGUUUAUGGGUGUGUGUAUAGUCGUGUUGCCUUGAUGUGUGUGUCUGAACAUCACACUGCGCUAUCGUGUAGGCGUUUGAGUGCGUGUGCGUGCGUGUGUGUCGGCACAGGCACGGUGCGUGUUGAUAAUUUUAGUUUCAGUGCCCUCCUCCUCCUCCUUCCCUCUCUCUUGUGUGUGUGUGUGUUUCUGAGUUUGUUUGCCCCCGGCUGCAGUGGCACCUCCGCCUAACUUUGCACAUGUGUAAGUGUUUUUUUUUUUCGUUAUUAUCUGUGUGUCUGAGUGCCUAGCUGUCUCUUGAUGUAUUCGUGCAUGGGCGCUCUUGCCGUUCUGGUUGAUCUCUCCCUCGCUCCAUCCACACCCUGUCUCUUACUGACCCCUCCCCCCACUCUACCUCCACCUCCCCCCGGACUUAUGUACUUGCUCUUUUCUAUCACCGUCGUGCGAGUGCGUUGAUGCGCCUGCUUCUCUUUUUCGUUGUCUUCGUUCUAUUCUUCCGUAGCCACAAUCCGGUCUCGCGCGCUGCACUGCUUUGCGCGGCUUCGUCUUCGAAUGUUCGCUUUCUUCUCUCGUUUUUCGUUUUUUUUUGUCAUCUGCGCUUGUUGGCGUCCACCCUCCACCCCCCCCCCCUGUGUGUGCGUGUGUGUGUGCGUGUGCGUGUGCGUGUGUGUGUGCAUGCGUAAUAUCGAUCUGUACGGUAAAGAUCACCAAAGCCGCCGCCAUCACAGCCGCCCAUAAGAACAACAGGGAAAGGUCAAGCAAAGAGAAGCACACUCACGCACAGGGGAACCGCACCGCAGACUAGCAGGGAAGGUGGACCGCCCGAUUGAAUCGGGCACGAAGAACCCAACAACAACAAAAAGGGAGGAUGAUUUUCUCUCCCGUCGUUUCGCGAUGAUGCGCGUAUGUAUGUGUGCGUGAUGAGCGCAUCCACAAACUACCACAUGGACGCAUGUAUACACAUUCUAAGAUACGCACCCGCAUCGGCACUAGCAUGCGAGGUUACCGCGCAGAUGCACUAGAGGUGUGCCACCACCGGAGCGCAGAUAUAAGAAAGUCUUUUUGCCCCCCCCCCCCACCCCCACCUCCACUCUUCACGGCCGCAUUUCUUUCUCUUGGUGAAGAUGACUCUUAUGCGUGCGCUCCAGUAGUGCUUGUGCUGCUGUAAAUCGCAGGUGCUCUUCCUGGUGAUUACGGGGAAGCGUGACCAGGAUGCUGCCGCUGCGGUUGCGCUGCGAGGCCUUCUCCCUAAUGCCCCUCCACCGAGUUCUCUCUCACCUGUGCGGCAUGUGUGGCAGUUUCGCUUCUUUUUUUUUCUUGUUACUCUCGCUCUUGGAGCCCCUUCUUCCUCUCUCUUUUCUCACAGUAGGGAACGAGCCACUUCUCACGCCGGGGCAUGUCUUUGUAUGCAUGUGCCUGCAUGUGUGUGUAUUGUGUGCCAUCCCGUGCGCGUGUGUAUGGGUGUGCCGGAUAGUGGCUGAGCCUCUCUCUCGUCCUUCUUUCCGAAUGCCCUUCAUGCUAUCAUGGGCCCCUCUCUGUGUUUUCGAUCCCCGACUAGCCUCUCUCUCCCCUCUCCACGUCUUCUGUUGUCGCUGCAUGCGCAUGUGUGCGCGUGUUGGCCGCCACUGGCGUGGUGCUGCACGAUUCGGUGCGAGUGCCGUUCCUGCCAACACGCACGCACAUGCACGCAUCCUUUUAUACACGCGCCCCUUUUUGUACUGGCCUGUUCAUGCCUGCCUUCACCCCUCCCUCCCUCCUCAUGCUUGUUUGCCCGGACGGCAUCUGGAAACGCCUCAGUGGGCGGUGCCCAGGGUCCGCGGCCCACUCUGUGUGGGGAAGCCAGACAGCCCCUCUCCCCCCUUAUCCCUCCCAGCGCCGAGCCACACCUGGCGGUGGCGGGACCAAGCACCGAAGGCUUUGUGGAUUCAGUGCGGUGCGUCGCUACUGCCGUCGGCGGCGAGGUCGCGGACGGCGUUGCGUCGGAGCGGACUGCGACCGUGCACGCGCUUGUGCCAUGGACAUGCUAGUCAGCGUGUGAAGGUGGCUCGGACGUAUGGCGCCCGCGGCCCUGACUGGGUAGUUGUGGGGAGCCUGCGCCACCCGGAGGGAUGCACGAGGCGGUGACCCGCCUAAUGGGAGGCGGCUGUGGGGCGGCCUGCGGAGCCGGUGGGGGUGCGGGGCCGGGUGUGUGUAUGGGGGAUUAGGUUGGUGUUGUAUGGCAGUAGAUAUAUAUGUGUAUGCUAAGAAAAUCUGUCGUCUGCCUUUGCUGUGUUCUGUCGUUGCUUAUUUUGUCGGCAACCAAAUGCGCAGAAUGGAGCAGUGUAAGGCGCUGUCGUUCUCGACUCGAGCACACGCCUUUGUCUCCCUCUGCGCUUCUUGUGAGGGAGUGCCACUCUUUGGGUGUGUCCUCCUCCGCUCUUCCCUCUAUACGCGGCCUAUAUCAAGGUUUUUCUUCCUGUAGUGAGGAGGAAGAGGGGUGGCUGAUGUGCCACACCUCUUCCGGGCUCAAUUAUAGGACUCCAGCCCUCGCAUCUCGUUGUUUCUCGAGAAAGAGAUGCGAUUCUAAAGGAGGGUGAUGGUGAAGAAACAUUUCCGGUAUUUCCAGCUGCAGGGAUGGAUGGGCAGUUGAGGGUGAGAGACGCAGUGCUUGGUCUGACAGCAAGUGCCACACAAACAAGGAAGCCCAUAACGUGGGCGCCAGGCACGUCUCCGUGCUGCCGCUCAGCAGGCACCGCACAAGCACGGUGCAUAGUGAGCAACGCUCGACAGAUGUCGCUAUCCUUGCACCAGCAUCACGAGGAUGUGUGUGUGUGUGUGUGUGCAGACCUGAAGCGUACUCUUCGUGAUGUGCAGUGUUUUCCUUCUUCCCAUUGCCUUCGCAUCCCCUGCUGCUUAAGUGCGGGACAUAAG